GUUUUUUGAUUGAUCAAUAAACAAGGACUUGGAGUCUAGAUGCGCAGAAGUUAAACAACAAGGAAGCCCCAGUUGGGUUAAAGCCACGCAAUAGAAUUCCGAAGUGUCGUUUUUUCCGAAAAAUAAACCUUUUCGUUUAUUUAGAAGUCAAAUCGUACCGUAUGUGACCAUGAAGACAGCAUUUGUUCUGCUGGUGUGUGUGCUGGCACCGAUCAUUUCGGCAAAGCUGUGCCAGAAGACUACAACUGUGACCAGGUACCGACAGGACAAGAGUUAUCGGUCGUGUGGCUGGUGGGGAUGGAACAGGUGCACGACAUACAACAGAGCGUCCUAUACUGUCCCUAUAAACGAAACUGAGUGUUGCGCAGGGGACAUCGGCCACAUAGAAAGUGGUUGUAACGGAG
This is a long non-coding RNA of Dreissena polymorpha, 404 nucleotides long. RefSeq lists it as uncharacterized. The record is from RefSeq and is a predicted model, not a curated record. The transcript has 4 exons. NCBI's taxonomy places the organism in Eukaryota, Metazoa, Mollusca, Bivalvia, Myida, Dreissenidae.